RNAcentral lists this ribosomal RNA (446 nucleotides) under uncultured bacterium. RNAcentral describes it as "partial 16S ribosomal RNA". It matches the Rfam family "Bacterial small subunit ribosomal RNA", at positions 338 to 795 of the family's 1533-position model. The record is from RNAcentral.
CCUACGGGCGGCAGCAGUAGGGAAUUUUCGGCAAUGGGGGGAAGCCUGACCGAGCAACGCCGCGUGAACGAAGAAGUUAUUCGUAAUGUAAAGUUCUUUUAACAGGGAAGAAAGAGAAAUUUGACGGUACCUGAAGAAUAAGCUCUGGCUAACUACGUGCCAGCAGCCGCGGUAAUACGUAGGGAGCGAGCGUUAUCCGGAAUGAUUGGGCGUAAGGGGUGCGUAGAUGGCAUAGUAAGUCUUUUGUAAAAAUGCUGGGCUAAACCCAGUAGGGCAAAAGAUACUGCAAAGCUAGAGUAUGACAGAGGCAAGUGGAACUACAUGUGUAGCGGUAAAAUGCGUAAAUAUAUGUAAGAACACCAGUGGCGAAGGCGGCUUGCUGGGUCGAUACUGACAUUGAGGCACGAAAGCGUGGGGAGCAAACAGGAUUAGAUACCCGAGUAGUC